AUGCACCUCCUCUAUGAUAGCAAGUCAACCCCACCAUCUCUGCCCCCCUUUUCAUGGCGGCUUUGGACGACAGAUGAAUCGAGGCUGUCCCUUUCGUCCACUCACAUCCUCAGUUAUUUCUCUUAUAUACAUACAAAUUAUUAUGGGCGAUGGCCAUGGUCUGUGAAUUCAGGCGUCGUCUGUCGAGGUGAUGUCGACUUAUUCAAGCAGAAGGUUCAUGAGAAAUGUAGUCACUGGUGUUUCUGCACUAGAGCAUUCAGAGUUGUAAGUGACUUUACUUUGGUUACUGAUAGUGCCAAAAGGCACUCAAAAUGUAAGAAAAGUUAUGUGAAGAGAAGCACAACACCUUUACUAUAA
This 357-nucleotide ribosomal RNA is filed under the name Triticum aestivum (bread wheat). RNAcentral describes it as "partial small subunit ribosomal RNA". The record is from RNAcentral. Lineage: Eukaryota; Viridiplantae; Streptophyta; Magnoliopsida; Poales; Poaceae.